ACUUGCUCCAAAACCCCCCAAAAAUCCCAAAGUACCCCUAAGUUUAGGUUCUAAUUCAGUUCGGUUUGUAUAACCCAAAUUCAAUUUUCGUUCGUAUUGCAGGACCCGAAAUAGCAUCUCCCAAAAACACUUUUGUCUACUGCUAACUCGCUUGCGUGUUCUUCAUCUUCAUCUUCCUUAGAUUCGGUUUCUAUAGACCGAAAACGCUUCGAUUCGGUUUCUAUCUACCGAAAACCCUUUGAUUCGGUUUCUAUCUACCGAAAAUCCUUCGAUUCGGUUUCUAUCCCUUUGAUUCGGUUUCUAUCUACCGAAAAUCCUUCGAUUCGGUUUCUAUCUUCCGAAAACGCUUUGAUUCGGUUUCUAUCUUCCGAAAACACUUUAGAAGUCCAUGAAUUUGCGAUUUGUUUUCCAUGAAUUUGGGUUUUCCAUUAAUUUAGAGCUUUCUUCAGAAGUCAGAUUGUGAACAUAUUUGGUUUCAGAUCAUGUUACUAUGAACUUCGCCAAAAGUGGAGGAAAUGGGAUCUAGGGUUCAGAAUGUCAAUAAAGGACUUAUGUUACUUUUGUUAUCAACUAUUUGCUCAGAAUUGUUUGUUGUAAUUCUAACUUAUUGUAUUGCUUCAGAAUUUUGUUCAAUUGGAAACAAAGUAUCCGUUUGGAAGUAUGCAUUGGUUUGAAAAGAAGAAGCAUAUAAAUUUUGAGAUAUCAGAGGUUCUUUGUGAACUAGAGUUCACCAUAAAGAGAAUGAAUAUCUCUACUACACCAGAUGGCAUAGUGAUGGAUCUCUUUUCAAUCAAGUGUACAUGGUUAUAGAAUUUUACAGAUGAAGUUUUAUAAUGAACUAGUGUGCCAUCAUGAUAGUUUUCCUUUAUAUCUUGUAAUGUAAAACCAUUUUUUCUUAGCUCAAGAAAUGUGCUUUUAAACUAACUGACCUGCACAAUCUUAUAUACUAAAGGAACUUCUACAUACAAAGAAGAGAAGGGAAAACAAAGUAAGGAUCAUAUUAAUUAUUAGAAGUUACUUACUUUGUUUAUCAUGUCACAAUGACAGGUAUUUCCUAGUGCUUAAAAGGAAUUUGUGGAUUCAAUCAUUUUACAAGUAUGAACUCUCUCUUUUGUGGUCUUGCACUUUUGCUUAAGAUACCAAAUAUUUCUUCCAAUUAUAGUAUAUAAUCAUUGGUCUGAGCUAGAUACCUUUAUAUGCUUUGUUUGAAUGAGCUUGUAUAUUUUCCCUUUCAACUUCGAGUAGCAUAAUGUAACCAUAGUAACAAAAGAGAAGCAAUUGUUAAUGAGAAUCGGAAAUACAAUGUCAGUGUUCACUUUGCAGCUGCAAGGGAGGGAAUUUUAAUUUCAGAUGCUUAUAGUGCCCCUCACCAAAUGAACUCUACAAGUGGAGACACCGAUGAAGAUUGAAGAUAGAAGAUAAAAGAGAUGAAGAUGUGAAGAGAGUAAAUUUGAAAACUUAGUAGACAUGAUAUGAUUUGUUUUUUCUUUCGUAACUUUUGAAAUUGUUAUGAACUUGUAUAUUUUUAAAUAAAUUAUGAUGUUCUUAA
Long non-coding RNA from Trifolium pratense (red clover), 1549 nucleotides. RefSeq lists it as uncharacterized. The record is from RefSeq and is a predicted model, not a curated record. Lineage: Eukaryota; Viridiplantae; Streptophyta; Magnoliopsida; Fabales; Fabaceae. The transcript has 3 exons.